RNAcentral lists this unclassified non-coding RNA (266 nucleotides) under Hevea brasiliensis (rubber tree). Lineage: Eukaryota; Viridiplantae; Streptophyta; Magnoliopsida; Malpighiales; Euphorbiaceae. The record is from RNAcentral.
AGAAAAUGCAGAGUCAGUCAAGCGCAGCAUGAACAGCAAAAAAUAAUGCGCUUUUGAAGCUCAAAAUUGUUGCUUGAUCCACACACACACAUAUAUUAUAUUCGCAAGUUCUUCUCAUCCUCAAUUUGUUUCGUACUAAUUACGUACUUGGCUUAUAUAUGGUAUACAUAAGUUUUUGUAAGAUGAUGACAUAAGAUGCAAGGGAAAUUCUUCUCAGCAUUCAAGUUAUUAUAGACCAAAUAUAUAAAAUAUAUGGUAAAAUUUAU